This 577-nucleotide ribosomal RNA is filed under the name Rhodotorula mucilaginosa. RNAcentral's name for it is "eukaryotic LSU rRNA". It matches the Rfam family "Eukaryotic large subunit ribosomal RNA", at positions 74 to 668 of the family's 3401-position model. The record is from RNAcentral. Lineage: Eukaryota; Fungi; Basidiomycota; Microbotryomycetes; Sporidiobolales; Sporidiobolaceae.
AUUCCCUAGUAGCGGCGAGCGAAGCGGGAAGAGCUCAAAUUUAUAAUCUGGCACCUUCGGUGUCCGAGUUGUAAUCUCUAGAAAUGUUUUCCGCGUUGGACCGCACACAAGUCUGUUGGAAUACAGCGGCAUAGUGGUGAGACCCCCGUAUAUGGUGCGGACGCCCAGCGCUUUGUGAUACAUUUUCGAAGAGUCGAGUUGUUUGGGAAUGCAGCUCAAAUUGGGUGGUAAAUUCCAUCUAAAGCUAAAUAUUGGCGAGAGACCGAUAGCGAACAAGUACCGUGAGGGAAAGAUGAAAAGCACUUUGGAAAGAGAGUUAACAGUACGUGAAAUUGUUGGAAGGGAAACGCUUGAAGUCAGACUUGCUUGCCGAGCAAUCGGUUUGCAGGCCAGCAUCAGUUUUCCGGGAUGGAUAAUGGUAGAGAGAAGGUAGCAGUUUCGGCUGUGUUAUAGCUCUCUGCUGGAUACAUCUUGGGGGACUGAGGAACGCAGUGUGCCUUUGGCGGGGGUUUCGACCUCUUCACACUUAGGAUGCUGGUGGAAUGGCUUUAAACGACCCGUCUUGAAACACGGACCC